AAGCUAUCUUGGUGACUUGUAAGCAACUCACUGUGCUUUGGUACUAGACUAUCCAAAUUUCUAAUUCGAUAAUGAAAGAUUUUUAGAUCCAAUCAAGUACUUAUAAAGUCUGAGUGUAAGUCAAGAUGAGAUUGACCGCUCUAAGUAAAAUUGGAGAUGAUGUAUCACAGUAUUUCAAUUCAGCAAAACUUUGACCAAAAUAGUUCUAG
RNAcentral lists this long non-coding RNA (209 nucleotides) under Elaeis guineensis (African oil palm). RNAcentral describes it as "long non-coding RNA (EGUI_LNC075212)". The record is from RNAcentral. Lineage: Eukaryota; Viridiplantae; Streptophyta; Magnoliopsida; Arecales; Arecaceae.